RNAcentral lists this ribosomal RNA (253 nucleotides) under uncultured bacterium. Its description in RNAcentral is "partial 16S ribosomal RNA". It matches the Rfam family "Bacterial small subunit ribosomal RNA", at positions 524 to 776 of the family's 1533-position model. The record is from RNAcentral.
UACGAAGGGUGCAAGCGUUACUCGGAAUCACUGGGCGUAAAGCGUGCGUAGGCGGUUUCUUAAGUCUGUCGUGAAAGCCCUGGGCUCAACCUGGGAAUGGCGAUGGAUACUGGGAGGCUAGAGUGUGAUAGAGGAUGGUGGAAUUCCCGGUGUAGCGGUGAAAUGCGUAGAGAUCGGGAGGAACACCAGUGGCGAAGGCGGCUUCCUGGUCUGCAACUGACGCUGUGGCGCGAAAGCUAGGGGAGCAAACGGG